RNAcentral lists this ribosomal RNA (192 nucleotides) under uncultured bacterium. RNAcentral's name for it is "partial 16S ribosomal RNA". It matches the Rfam family "Bacterial small subunit ribosomal RNA", at positions 1309 to 1500 of the family's 1533-position model. The record is from RNAcentral.
AACUCGACUGCAUGAAGCUGGAAUCGCUAGUAAUCGCGGAUCAGAAUGCCGCGGUGAAUACGUUCCCGGGUCUUGUACACACCGCCCGUCACACCAUGGGAGUCAGUAACGCCCGAAGUCAGUGACCGAACCGAGAGGACGGAGCUGCCGAAGGCGGGACGGAUAACUGGGGUGAAGUCGUAACAAGGUACC